This 1035-nucleotide ribosomal RNA is filed under the name Bacillus sp. (in: firmicutes). RNAcentral's name for it is "bacterial SSU rRNA". It matches the Rfam family "Bacterial small subunit ribosomal RNA", at positions 24 to 1045 of the family's 1533-position model. The record is from RNAcentral. Lineage: Bacteria; Bacillati; Bacillota; Bacilli; Caryophanales; Bacillaceae.
UGCAGACGACGCGGGGGGGGUGCUAUACUUGCAAGUCGAGCGGACAGAUGGGAGCUUGCUCCUGAUGUUAGCGGCGGACGGGUGAGUAACACGUGGGUAACUGCCUGUAAGACUGGGAUAACUCCGGGAAACCGGGGCUAAUACCGGAUGGUUGUUUGAACCGCAUGGUUCAGACAUAAAAGGUGGCUUCGGCUACCACUUACAGAUGGACCCGCGGCGCAUUAGCUAGUUGGUGAGGUAACGGCUCACCAAGGCGACGAUGCGUAGCCGACCUGAGAGGGUGAUCGGCCACACUGGGACUGAGACACGGCCCAGACUCCUACGGGAGGCAGCAGUAGGGAAUCUUCCGCAAUGGACGAAAGUCUGACGGAGCAACGCCGCGUGAGUGAUGAAGGUUUUCGGAUCGUAAAGCUCUGUUGUUAGGGAAGAACAAGUGCCGUUCAAAUAGGGCGGCACCUUGACGGUACCUAACCAGAAAGCCACGGCUAACUACGUGCCAGCAGCCGCGGUAAUACGUAGGUGGCAAGCGUUGUCCGGAAUUAUUGGGCGUAAAGGGCUCGCAGGCGGUUUCUUAAGUCUGAUGUGAAAGCCCCCGGCUCAACCGGGGAGGGUCAUUGGAAACUGGGGAACUUGAGUGCAGAAGAGGAGAGUGGAAUUCCACGUGUAGCGGUGAAAUGCGUAGAGAUGUGGAGGAACACCAGUGGCGAAGGCGACUCUCUGGUCUGUAACUGACGCUGAGGAGCGAAAGCGUGGGGAGCGAACAGGAUUAGAUACCCUGGUAGUCCACGCCGUAAACGAUGAGUGCUAAGUGUUAGGGGGUUUCCGCCCCUUAGUGCUGCAGCUAACGCAUUAAGCACUCCGCCUGGGGAGUACGGUCGCAAGACUGAAACUCAAAGGAAUUGACGGGGGCCCGCACAAGCGGUGGAGCAUGUGGUUUAAUUCGAAGCAACGCGAAGAACCUUACCAGGUCUUGACAUCCUCUGACAAUCCUAGAGAUAGGACGUCCCCUUCGGGGGCAGAGUGACAGGUGGUGCA